RNAcentral lists this ribosomal RNA (267 nucleotides) under uncultured fungus. RNAcentral describes it as "partial 18S ribosomal RNA". It matches the Rfam family "Eukaryotic small subunit ribosomal RNA", at positions 548 to 822 of the family's 1831-position model. The record is from RNAcentral. Lineage: Eukaryota; Fungi.
UUGGAGGGCAAGUCUGGUGCCAGCAGCCGCGGUAAUUCCAGCUCCAAUAGCGUAUAUUAAAGUUAUUGCCGUUAAAAAGCUCGUAGUUGAACUUUCAUGGGCUCACGCGGUCUGCCUCACGGCAAGUACUGUGUGGGUCCGUGCUCCUGGGUGGUGAGCCGUCAUGUCGUUUACUCGGUGUGGCGGGGAACCACCUCUGUUACCUUGAGAAAAUUAGAGUGUUCAAAGCAGGCCUAUGCCCGAAUACAUUAGCAUGGAAUAACGAAA